UCCGGAGGGGGCUAUCGUUGUUCGGAAUUACUGGGCGUAAAGCGCACGUAGGCGGAUGUUUAAGUCGGGGGUGAAAUCCCGGGGCUCAACCCCGGAAUGGCCUUCGAUACUGGACGUCUGGAGGUCGGGAGAGGCGAGUGGAAUUCCGAGUGUAGAGGUGAAAUUCGUAGAUAUUCGGAGGAACACCAGUGGCGAAGGCGGCUCGCUGGCCCGAUACUGACGCUGAGGUGCGAAAGCGUGGGGAGAAAACAGG
Molecule: ribosomal RNA, 253 nt
Filed under: uncultured bacterium
Lineage: Bacteria
Description: partial 16S ribosomal RNA
Rfam family: Bacterial small subunit ribosomal RNA
Source: RNAcentral